RNAcentral lists this ribosomal RNA (253 nucleotides) under uncultured bacterium. RNAcentral's name for it is "partial 16S ribosomal RNA". It matches the Rfam family "Bacterial small subunit ribosomal RNA", at positions 524 to 776 of the family's 1533-position model. The record is from RNAcentral.
UACGUAGGGUGCGAGCGUUGUCCGGAAUUAUUGGGCGUAAAGGGCUCGUAGGCGGUUUGUCGCGUCGGGAGUGAAAACCUUGGGCUUAACUCAGGGCUUGCUUUCGAUACGGGCAGACUAGAGGUAUGCAGGGGAGAACGGAAUUCCUGGUGUAGCGGUGAAAUGCGCAGAUAUCAGGAGGAAUACCGAUGGCGAAGGCAGGUCUCUGGGCUAUAACUGACGCUCAUGCACGAAAGCGUGGGGAGCAAACAGG